RNAcentral lists this long non-coding RNA (255 nucleotides) under Arabidopsis lyrata. RNAcentral describes it as "long non-coding RNA (ALYR_LNC001612)". The record is from RNAcentral. Lineage: Eukaryota; Viridiplantae; Streptophyta; Magnoliopsida; Brassicales; Brassicaceae.
GAAUAUGCUACCGUUUUGAUUUUGAAGAGUCAUAAAUUAGUUUCUAAAUAAUCGUUUGUUUGCAGAUUUGGAGAGAAUAAGUCUCGGAAAAGGUAUGUGGAAGUAAUUAGUUGGGAUCACAGCCUAAAGAAGAGAUUUUAGAAAUAAAGGAUCGACAUUAUUGAGAUAGAUUUUUGGAACGCAAUAUCUUUUAUUUAAUUUUCGAUUUUCAUAAUCCAAUUGCGGAAGAAGUUAAGGAAACAGAAAAUAUUUGGU